Long non-coding RNA from Asparagus officinalis (garden asparagus), 1446 nucleotides. RefSeq lists it as uncharacterized. Lineage: Eukaryota; Viridiplantae; Streptophyta; Magnoliopsida; Asparagales; Asparagaceae. The record is from RefSeq and is a predicted model, not a curated record. The transcript has 6 exons.
UUUAUAAAAGCUGAUUUUCUUCUUCUUCUUUUUCACUUUGUUUCAGAACUCCUCUUCCCCAAGGACUCUUCAAAUUCGGAACUCCUCAUCAACAAGGAUUCUGAGCUUUCCUUUCUUCUCUUUAAAUUGUUGGAUUUUGGCUAAUAUUCCCCUUCCAGACUUAGGGUUUUGAUUCUUACCUUGGUGUUAAAGCUUCUCAUUGGUAACGAGCUUUGUUCUUCAUGAACUCCAGGGUUUCAGAUUUGAUUGUGUUCGAGCCGAUUGUUGUGGAUUCUUCUUGAACGAACCAGUGUUCCCUUCCCCAUCAAGCUUGUUCUCUCUGAUUCAGAUUAGCUAUGUUGACGAGGAGAUCACGUAUCCUAAAGAGGUCGGCUACUGAGUUACCUGAGAGGGAGGCUCUAUCUUUCGCAGGACGAGGUAUAUCAUUAUGCUAUUUUCACGACAAUAUACGUUAUCUUACGUGUGCGUGAUAUGGUUGAAAUCGUCUCGCUAAUUACAAGUUGAAUUCCCUUCGGAUGUGUUCUUGCCUUUCGAGGUAGAUGGUCAUAGGGUGAGCAUUAUGCUAAUAUCGAUGAUCCAACGUUAAUCCCGCCAACUCCUCAAUUUGGUUCGGACAUUCCUGAAAAUUCUCUCGAUUGGUGUGAGAGGGACAUCAUCGUACUUUGCCUUAGCUAAUUACCGACGCACCGCUUACAGAUAAUGAGGGUUCUACCCGACCUCCCAGGAAGACAGAUUAUUUAUUUGGAGAUUCCAUUGAAGAUCAGAUAGUCGUAUCUCUGAAGGAUGAGCAAUGGUUACACAAAGACAUGGUAAGAAGUUGUUACCCCAAGAGAUGAACUACAAGAUUCUUCGAUCAUUGUCUCCGGUGUGGGAACCCAAAGCUACGGCCAUAGAGGAAGCUCACGAUCUCACCACACUUCCCCUUAAUGGUCUCAUUGGCAAGCUCAAAGUCCAUGAGAAGAAAAUCAAAGAGAAGGAGAAUGAGGAAGAACCCCAUGGGUAAUCGAGGAGCCAUCCCAAAAGAAGACAAUUGCUCUUAAAGGAGCUAUUGAUGACUCCUCCUCCUCGGAUAGUGAAACCGGUGUUUCUAGAUAAGUGGCUCUCCUCUCUAGAAGAAUUUCUAAACUAAUAAAAUUAAACAAAAAUCUUAACCGAUCUAAUAACAAUAUUUUUCCUCGUAUAGGAAAAUGCUUUGAGUGCAAUGAACCGGGUCAUCAAGCCAAGGAGUGCCCAAAGAUCAAAGAAAAAUACUUGAAGUACAAGAAAAAGAGGACGAUGUAUGCCGAAUGGGAUGAAUCCGAGCCAAGUGACUCGGAUAGCGAUGAGGAGGGAGCUAAGUUUGCUUUUCAUGAUCAUAACAUUUGUUUUAUGGCCAAUGAAGAUGAUGUAAUUAUAUCUGACUCCAAAAGUGAAUCUUUUUAUAUGCAAUAUGAUCUAGCUACCGCA